CUCGUAGGCGGUUUGGUAAGUCGGGUGUGAAAUCUCCACGCUCAACGUGGAGGGGCCACUCGAUACUGCCAUGACUAGAGUCCGGUAGAGGAGUGUGGAAUUCCCGGUGUAGCGGUGAAAUGCGCAGAUAUCGGGAGGAACACCCGUAGCGAAGGCGGCACUCUGGGCCGGAACUGACGCUGAGGAGCGAAAGCGUGGGGAGCAAACA
RNAcentral lists this ribosomal RNA (208 nucleotides) under uncultured bacterium. RNAcentral describes it as "partial 16S ribosomal RNA". It matches the Rfam family "Bacterial small subunit ribosomal RNA", at positions 568 to 774 of the family's 1533-position model. The record is from RNAcentral.